GACGAACGCUGGCGGCGUGCCUAAUACAUGCAAGUCGAACGCUUCUUUCCUCCCGAGUGCUUGCACUCAAUUGGAAAGAGGAGUGGCGGACGGGUGAGUAACACGUGGGUAACCUACCCAUCAGAGGGGGAUAACACUUGGAAACAGGUUCUAAUACCGCAUAACAGUUUAUGCCGCAUGGCAUAAGAGUGAAAGGCGCUUUCGGGUGUCGCUGAUGGAUGGACCCGCGGUGCAUUAGCUAGUUGGUGAGGUAACGGCGCACCAAGGCCACGAUGCAUAGCCGACCUGAGAGGGUGAUCGGCCACACUGGGACUGAGACACGGCCCAUACUCCUACGGGAGGCAGCAGUAGGGAAUCUUCGGCAAUGGGCGAAAGUCUGACCGAGCAACGCCGCGUGAGUGAAGAAGGUUUUCGGAUCGUAAAACUCUGUUGUUAGAGAAGAACAAGGACGUUAGUAACUGAACGUCCCCUGACGGUAUCUAACCAGAAAGACACGGCUAACUACGUG
Molecule: ribosomal RNA, 508 nt
Filed under: uncultured bacterium
Lineage: Bacteria
Description: partial 16S ribosomal RNA
Rfam family: Bacterial small subunit ribosomal RNA
Source: RNAcentral